UACGUAGGGGGCUAGCGUUGUCCGGAAUUACUGGGCGUAAAGAGUGUGUAGGCGGUGCUCUAAGUUCGGUGUGAAAUCUCCUGGCUCAACUGGGAGGGUGCGCCGGAAACUGGAGUGCUUGAGCGUGGGAGAGGAAAGCGGAAUUCCUGGUGUAGCGGUGAAAUGCGUAGAUAUCAGGAGGAACACCUGUGGUGUAGACGGCUUUCUGGACCAUAGCUGACGCUGAGACACGAAAGCGUGGGUAGCAAACAGG
This 253-nucleotide ribosomal RNA is filed under the name uncultured bacterium. Its description in RNAcentral is "partial 16S ribosomal RNA". It matches the Rfam family "Bacterial small subunit ribosomal RNA", at positions 524 to 776 of the family's 1533-position model. The record is from RNAcentral.